UACAGAGGUCUCAAGCGUUGUUCGGAUUCAUUGGGCGUAAAGGGUGCGUAGGUGGCGCGCUAAGUCAGGUGUGAAAUUUCGGAGCUUAAUUCCGAAACUGCAUUUGAUACUGGCGUGCUUGAGGACUGGAGAGGAGACUGGAAUUCAUGGUGUAGCAGUGAAAUGCGUAGAGAUCAUGAGGAAGACCAGUGGCGAAGGCGGGUCUCUGGACAGUUCCUGACACUGAGGCACGAAGGCCAGGGGAGCAAACGGG
RNAcentral lists this ribosomal RNA (253 nucleotides) under uncultured bacterium. RNAcentral's name for it is "partial 16S ribosomal RNA". It matches the Rfam family "Bacterial small subunit ribosomal RNA", at positions 524 to 776 of the family's 1533-position model. The record is from RNAcentral.